This is a long non-coding RNA of Columba livia (rock pigeon), 3789 nucleotides long. RefSeq lists it as uncharacterized. The record is from RefSeq and is a predicted model, not a curated record. The transcript has 2 exons. Lineage: Eukaryota; Metazoa; Chordata; Aves; Columbiformes; Columbidae.
GGGAAAAAAUUGCUUUUGCUUCUGUUGAUUCCCUAGUUGAAACUAAGUGGGCAUGGAAAGUGCUCGAGGGCUGUUGUAGCAGAGACCUGUGUGAUAACCGUGUGACUAGGAGUCGAGAAAGUUAAGUGUUUUAUUACUUCUCUAAACAGAGGGCAAGUCUUAAAAGUCUGCUCGAUUUAUAGUGAACAGAAACCAGCUGCCGUAAAGAAACUCCAAAUAGAAUCCUCGCCCUGCACUGAAAAUCAGGAUUCUGGGGAGAAAAGGGAGAGAAAGAGGAGGGAGUGAAAAAAAUACAGCACAACCACCCCCAAAACCGCACCAUUCAAAUAUGUUUUCCUCAUUGCGAUUCCUCACGGUUUGAAUGCACUGAUUCUAUAUAUAUAUAUAGAAUGAUUAUUGCUAUUUUUUUGUCGUCUCAUUGAUAUUUUCUAACAGUUUGGGGCUGACUCGAAAGUAUUUCACCAAGCUAUGCCACUACCCAAAAGGUAUUUAUUUCCCCCCCCCAAACACGGAGAGGGAAUAUGUGGGGCGCUUUCUGGUUAAAUUGGUCUGCAAACAAUUAUGUAAACUCAUCAGCAGAAGCAAGAACAGAUGUUUUAUUAAAAGUGCUACACAGCAGUAGAAAUAUGGACAAGUCUUCGAGUAGCUCUUUAAUACGAGUUGUUCUUUGUUCCCAGGAAAGAAAAGCGCCCAUAGAAAUCUGAAAUAACACCCACCACUCAUAAGCCAUAUUUACCACCCCCCCUGCCCUUUAUUUUUUCAUCUCCCCCCACUGAUGCUCACACAGAGAGGGGAAAAAUAUAUAUAUAUAUAUAUAGGAAGAAAAAAAUACGAGUCGGGAGAUUUCCUCCCCCCCCUCCCAGCUUUAAUUAGCAAAUUGAUGAACUGAUUUAGGGAAAGGGAAAAAAAAAAAAAGAGGCUUAAAAAAAAAAUACAUGCAAUCCCAACACAUGUGUUUUCUAUCCCCCAGUAAUUACUGAAAGGAAACGAAUCCAAAUCGGUGUCCCCCCCCCGGCCGCCUGCCCCUCCCCGCCUGCAGAUCCCGCUACUGGCAGCGCUGCUGCCCGGCCCUGCGGCCGCUCGGGCUCUUUGGGGGGGUUCGGGGGGGGUUUUGCUGUUUCUUUCCCAGCCACGUUGUGUAUUUGGGGCUGAUUCCCGCGUGGGGCAAAAGAUGGGGGUGUCCCCCCCCGCCUCGCCCACGCGUGUUGCGUUGGGAGGUGCACACCCCCCGCCACUACUUGCCCCCCGCAGCCACUUGGACAUUCAAAUUAUUCGAGCAGGGCGAGGGGGGGGUUACUGUAAACUGCUGCCAAAAUGGCUCUAUGGGGAUGCUCUAAAGGGGGGGGGGGCUUACUCUCAUCACCCCCCCCAAAAUAAACCCCACACCUGCUUGUUUAAGGCCCAUGCACCCCCCGGCUAUGGGGCCGUGAGCCUGCGCGCCCACAUCGGAUCAAACCCUCGAAGCUUUUAGAGGUAAAUACAAGUGAUGCCAUUAAAAGGCUUUUUAUUUAAACUGAUUUCACCUUGUAUCUGGGAUCUCUGCCUCCCCCCGCCCCCCCCCCGCUUCGCUUUCUUUUUUAACUUGACAUUUAUGGCACACGUGAGUCCUAAUUAUUUAUUUGGGUCUUUCGCUGGGAAUUUAUUCCUGCUCUUUACAACGGGGGUUAUUCCUAGUCAAAUAUUGCUUUUUGCUGUAAAUAACGCUGGGGGGGUGAGGGGGGGGCGGGAAAUAAGGGUCAAAAAUAAGGAGAACACCCUCCCAAAUAAAAGGGGGGGCAACGGGAUAACAAGCAACCAAGUCUCGGCGGUUUAUAUGGGGGUUUAUUUCUCUCUCCCCCAGCCUGAAGUGCUUCGCAUUGUUUUGGAGCCGUCUCUGCUCUCUGUAAUUACAACCUCGGAGUCAGAGUCUGAACAGCUCUUAAUUAAAUAAACCAAGGAGAUGAAAUCUCCCUUUUAUCCCGAAUACUUUUAUUCGGAGCUUCAAGUUUUAUCCCUCCGCGUUGGGGAGGGGGCGGCCUAUUUGGGAGGCUUAUUUCUUAAUUAAAAGGCGCUUUCUGCAGCAAGAUGCACGAAGCCAUUAUUAGCGAAAACACCCAUUUCCCCCCAUAUCUUCCCGAGCAAAAAACCACACCCAGCGGCAUUUCAGUUAUUUUUCCUUAAUACAAACCUUCCCAAACCCCCUUUUCCCCCCGCUCUAGGUGAAUAAAGAUUAUUUACCACCCCGUAGAGUUACCCAGACGAGUCAUUUCUUUGCUUUUUCCUAUGGCUUUUUUUUUUUGUUGCUUUCAGCGCCAUGGAGGGAAAUGGGUUUAAACGUGUUCGCGUUAUUUUAUUCGCUGAGUUGCUUUGGGAAAGUGGAGCAAAAGUUCAGGGCAACUCCAAGUUGCAGCGCGAUUAAAAAUACAGAGAAGAAGAAUCAUAAUAAUGGAGGGGAGAAGGGGGGAAAUAAGGGUUUUCUCGCUUGUAAAACCACUCAAUCGCUUCACAGAUUUGCAGGGGUUGGAGGGUGAAAAACAAGGGGGAAUUCUGGCAAUUGUCAAAACACAUGUCUGCUGAGCAGGAAGCUGGAGGUGUGCGGAGAAGAGAAAUUAAUCCGCUCCUACUCCUCAAAUUCAUCCCUCUUCUUUCUGCCGAGCUUGAAAGCGCUUUGGAGCCUUUAUUCAGAUUUUUCCCCGCGACGGGAGGAGGUUUUAAUUCUCAAAUAGAUAUAUUUUUAUACAUAUAUAUAUAUAUAUAUCUAAGGGGGGGGGGUGAUUGAUUUCAUUUAUUUCUCUCCUUCCCCAGAUUUAUUGGCGAAUCUCAGCCCAACAAAAGGAGGCAGCACCGAAAAUCUCCCCGCGGAAACGGGACUUCGCUGGCUCUUAAAUGACCGAGUAACCGCGUUGAGGGAAGAAAAAGGAGCCAAAAACAAAAGUUAGCAGAGAAAAUAGAAGCGAAGGGGGAACCUCCCCUGUUAAACCGCCGCAAUUAAAUGGGAUUUGCUGAUUAAACGCCCCGCUGAAUCAAUCUCAGCGCUGGGAAAGGGACCCCCACCCCCCUUUUUUUCUUGGGGGGGUGUGUGGGGGGGAAAUCUUCAUAUUUGAAGGGGUGUAAAGCGCUUUGUUUAUAGGGAGGGGUCUGCGGGAUAUUCCUGGUGCUUCCUUUGCUAAAAGUGGGCUUAAUGGUGCUUUGGGGUUUUAUUUAAGCUCCGUUUAAAUUCAGUUGGAUCCAAGAAAAUACCUUUUGGCCCCCAAACCUGCCCAGGUGACAGGUAGCAACUUUUUCUCAGGGAAAAAAAGAUACAUAUAUAUAUAUAUAUGGAUAUAUAUAUGGAGAUAUAUAUGUGUGUGUAUAUAUAUAUAUGGAGAUAUAUAUAUCCCCCUUUCAGCUUUUAAUUCGUGUUUCUCUCAAAUUUGGGGUCUCUUUUCAUGACAGAGCGGGAAUAUUUCCUAAAACCCCCCCAAAAUGAACCAAAACCGACAAUGGCGCUCAUGACGUCAUACCCGUCGCGGCCAAGAGUUUGUGGCGUAAAAUGAGGGGGAAAAAGCGACUUUUUGCUGCAUCCGCGUGUGUUUCUAUACGUGUGUCUAUAUGUAUAUAUAUAUAUAUGGAGAGAUGCAAUUACUUCUGCGGGGUGUAGAGAUUAAAAAUAAGAAGGGAGGGGGUGUUAUUACGUUCUGCAAGGGUAACUCAGGAGUGAAGAAUUGUUGUCAUUAACUAUAGGCACUUUUAUCCUUUAUUCUUCGCAGAUCCGAAGGCAGAAAUUUAAUCAUAGGUGACUCGGAAUAAAAAUAAUUCAGGAAACAAUAA